RNAcentral lists this ribosomal RNA (483 nucleotides) under uncultured bacterium. RNAcentral's name for it is "partial 16S ribosomal RNA". It matches the Rfam family "Bacterial small subunit ribosomal RNA", at positions 30 to 507 of the family's 1533-position model. The record is from RNAcentral.
UUGCACGCUGGCGGCAGGCCUCACCCAUGCAAGUCGAGCGGAUGAAGGGAGCUUGCUCCUGGAUUCAGCGGCGGACGGGUGAGUAAUGCCUAGGAAUCUGCCUGGUAGUGGGGGAUAACGUCCGGAAACGGGCGCUAAUACCGCAUACGUCCUGAGGGAGAAAGUGGGGGAUCUUCGGACCUCACGCUACCAGAUGAGCCUAGGUCGGAUUAGCUAGUUGGUGGGGUAAAGGCCUACCAAGGCGACGAUCCGUAACUGGUCUGAGAGGAUGAUCAGUCACACUGGAACUGAGACACGGUCCAGACUCCUACGGGAGGCAGCAGUGGGGAAUAUUGGACAAUGGGCGAAAGCCUGAUCCAGCCAUGCCGCGUGUGUGAAGAAGGUCUUCGGAUUGUAAAGCACUUUAAGUUGGGAGGAAGGGCAGUAAGUUAAUACCUUGCUGUUUUGACGUUACCAACAGAAUAAGCACCGGCUAACUUCGUG